UCGUACUAAGGCUGAGAUGCCUCACAUUUACAGACAUGUACAUACUUAUAUGAGUAUACGUAUAAAAGCAACACUUCAUGAAGCUUACAAUGCAAAAUCACAGCAUUAAUAUAUGUCUCACCAGUUCCAUUCUAGGAUCAUUGAUACCUAGUGUCCCAGCAUCACUUAUUAGGGCUACAUUUCACAAUCAUGUUAUCUCUUGAUAACUAUUUGUUCUUGUUGAGACUCAUUAAAUUUGUGAUAACUCAACUGAAAAUCUAAAUCACAAAAUCAGAAAAAAAAAA
This 284-nucleotide long non-coding RNA is filed under the name Olea europaea (common olive). RNAcentral describes it as "long non-coding RNA (OEUR_LNC009424)". Lineage: Eukaryota; Viridiplantae; Streptophyta; Magnoliopsida; Lamiales; Oleaceae. The record is from RNAcentral.